AAAGAACUGGCCAUCCAGAAUAAUUUCCAUGUAUGGCAGGAUUUGCAAUGGUCACUGGACUCAGAGCACAUGGGGAUCCUGUGAUGGAGACAUGGAGAAAGAAUAGCAAGUUUCCCUAGGAAGAUGGGCACCAGCCAGGCAGCUGGAGAAACAAUUGCUGGAGGACUUUAGAGCCCCAUGCAUGACUUCAUCUGCACAUUUCUCCCUCUCUCAUGGGAAUGCAGCUUCCUGCUUUCAAUUUCUAUGCGCAGAGAUACUUCAGGGCACAAGACUCCCAGGUUGUAGGAUAUCAUUCUUGGUGUUUGCAUUCAGGAAGUCCUGGGAGGGAGGAAGUCUCCCGGCCCAUCUUUUCUUGGAUACACGCAGUGAGGAGGCUGUGCCGGUGAACAGCGUGGGGAGCCUGAGAAGGUGCUGGGGACACAGGGGGUGUCCAUGAAGUGAGAAAGUGCCUAGGAGACCCGGGUUCAAAGCCAGACCCUACAUCAGCCUCUGCAUGUGGCCUUUCCCAUGCUCAGCCUCCUCAGAGAGGCCCAGGCCAAGGAUCCCUCAACCGGCGGGUUCAUCCCCUAGGUGGGAGUGUGGCUUCCCGCUCCAGGCUCAGGAGGUGCGCCUUUGUUCUACUUAAGUGUGCAUGUCACCUGGCACCUGGCCAAGGCCUCUGCUGCAUCUGUGCCAGGAGGGGAGAGAUGGAAUCCUUCACCCAGCCUGCGAGGGGUGCUGCAGACCAUCGUCCUGUGCUGGCUGCAGGCUGAGGCCUCUAACCAUGGGGCACAGAUACCCACUCUCAAAGCCCACCUUGUUCUGCUUCUUCUCUACACGAGUUCAGCCUCAUUCCACCCAGUGCCUGCGUGAGUCGUGUCUUCCUUGGCGACACCCACCAACCGCGGAGUGGGUUGACACUGAGACUGCUGCUCCUGGUGGCAGGCAUUGUUAUGCCAUUUGCUGUCCUCCACACAAUGAGACUCCUCCCUGGAGGCGGGGACGAGUCAUCAUCACCUUGACACCGUCUCUUCCUCUGUCUGAGUCCCAGCACCCUGCUCUGUAGCACCGGUAAGAGAAAAGCAGCCUCUGGCACCAAUGGCAAAGAAGCUGUGGAGAGAAAAGCGCCCAGUGCGGCCCAGGGGCACAGAGGCACCCAGUGCACAGGCACUACUGUUUGCCCCGGCGUGGCUGUUAUUACUACUAACGCCUGGGGCUUGUCCACAAACCUCACUGUGAAAAUCUCUUUCUAUGUACUCCACUCUAGACAAGAUGCCACCUGCUUCCCAAGCCUUGUAGUAACAUUGAUUCCAGGCUCAAAGAUCCCAUCAGCCUGCCAGUGUCUGCUUCUCUGCAUGUCCCCAGGAACCUAAGGGGCCAGGAUUACUGUAAAAGACCGGUAUUAGAAACUGAGUUGACUCCAGUCUCCCUUCAUGUGAACGCAACAGGACACGGCUCUGAAAUGCCAUACAACUGCGUCCCUGGCAACAGGUGUUGACCCUUCAAAGGAUGUCUGCCCAGGGUUGCCGAAACCCGGGGCACUCAGCUCUCCGUGGAAAUCACACGCACUCUGAUUCCAUGUCGUUGCCUGGUGCCAAAGAUCUUUGAUGUUAAGGCUGUGCUUUCUCUCUGCCCCUCUUCAUGGGGAGCUGAGAUAAGUUUAGAUUUUUGGCAGCAGGCUUUCUGCCCUAGCGCCCACAGAACAGGGUACUUGCGGCAGUGCUGGAGACAGCUGCACGUCAUGUGUCACAAGCAUGCGAGAGUGGGAGCGAGGGUGGAAUGCAUGGGGAGUGCUCUCUGCUGCGCACGGAGGUAGCAAACACCACCCUGUGUGCCCCUGAGUUAUUGCUGUGUGCAGACCACCUCCCAGGUCCUAGGGAGCACCCUCCUAGCCAGAUGUCCAAGGUGCCAGAAAUGACCCAUAGCAGCUGCUGUGGUCAAAAGGGAGGCCUGAGCCUGGGCAGUGGAGGCUGAGCCCCCAGGAGCAAUUUCUGCCCCAACCCACCCAGUCCUUCUAGCCAAGGUAGUCCUCAUGACUGUCCCUGCCACCUGUCCUGGUCCAGGAUGCUGCUCUUCCUGCUACCUGCCCACACUGGCUGUUCAUUUGACCUCUAGAAAACCUUCCUUUGCCUCUGGAAAUCCCAACCACAGCUGCCUUUAUUGAACACCUGCUAUAUACCUCAAGUGAAGUGCUUUACAUAGCUGAUGAGGACAACAGAAGCUCAGAGAGGUUAAGCUGCCUGCCUGGGAUUGCCCAGCUAAUAUAAGUGCCCUCAACCACAGAUGCCUGCCGUGCCGUCUCCCAUGGAAGCCGCAGGACCAAGCCACGGGACCCCACGUACAAGCAGCAGGGUGCAAGAACACCAGGUGCAGACUCCUCAGGCAUCAGCUCCCGGAGGCCUCUUCUCAGCAAGGACCCUGUUAUUUUCCCUGGCUGCCCUUAUUCCACCAAGGAGUUCUGAGCCUUAAAUCAAGGGUGUAGAGGCGAACACUUUUGUGAGAUGAAGGCUCUGUUUGCUAAGAGGGACUUGGGGAGGAUGAGCUCUGUUCUCCAUUCUUUCUAGCACAAGUUGUAGCUCAGAAUGGGGAAAGAAAAAGAUGAGAUUCAGAGUCAAACAGACCUGGCUUCAGAUCCCAGUUUUAGGACUUUUAGUGUAUGGCCCAGAGCAGUUAACUUGCCAGACUCUUUCUUUAUCUGUAAAAUGGGGUCCUCCAUAGGUUGGUUGCGUGGUUUAAAUUAUGUCUGCAAAGUGCAUAGUACAAGGUCCAGCAUCUUCCAAGGAUGUAACCCAUGGCAGAUGUUUAUCUUAUUUGCUCCAGGUUGACCUUGCACCCCACCAACCUGGCUUGCAGGGUCCCCUGGCCUCUGCUGGUUCCUCUUUGCUGCACA
Long non-coding RNA from Chinchilla lanigera (long-tailed chinchilla), 2869 nucleotides. RefSeq lists it as uncharacterized. The transcript is spliced from 4 exons. The record is from RefSeq and is a predicted model, not a curated record. NCBI's taxonomy places the organism in Eukaryota, Metazoa, Chordata, Mammalia, Rodentia, Chinchillidae.